CUGAUGGAUGGACCCGCGGUGCAUUAGCUAGUUGGUGAGGUAACGGCUCACCAAGGCCACGAUGCAUAGCCGACCUGAGAGGGUGAUCGGCCACACUGGGACUGAGACACGGCCCAGACUCCUACGGGAGGCAGCAGUAGGGAAUCUUCGGCAAUGGACGAAAGUCUGACCGAGCAACGCCGCGUGAGUGAAGAAGGUUUUCGGAUCGUAAAACUCUGUUGUUAGAGAAGAACAAGGACGAGAGUGAACGUUCAUCCCUUGACGGUAUCUAACCAGAAAGCCACGGCUAACUACGUGCCAGCAGCCGCGGUAAUACGUAGGUGGCAAGCGUUGUCCGGAUUUAUUGGGCGUAAAGCGAGCGCAGGCGGUUUCUUAAGUCUGAUGUGAAAGCCCCCGGCUCAACCGGGGAGGGUCAUUGGAAACUGGGAGACUUGAGUGCAGAAGAGGAGAGUGGAAUUCCAUGUGUAGCGGUGAAAUGCGUAGAUAUAUGGAGGAACACCAGUGGCGAAGGCGGCUCUCUGGUCUGUAACUGACGCUGAGGCUCGAAAGCGUGGGGAGCGAACAGGAUUAGAUACCCUGGUAGUCCACGCCGUAAACGAUGAGUGCUAAGUGUUGGAGGGUUUCCGCCCUUCA
This 633-nucleotide ribosomal RNA is filed under the name uncultured bacterium. RNAcentral describes it as "bacterial SSU rRNA". It matches the Rfam family "Bacterial small subunit ribosomal RNA", at positions 218 to 842 of the family's 1533-position model. The record is from RNAcentral.